RNAcentral lists this ribosomal RNA (372 nucleotides) under uncultured bacterium. RNAcentral describes it as "bacterial SSU rRNA". It matches the Rfam family "Bacterial small subunit ribosomal RNA", at positions 527 to 896 of the family's 1533-position model. The record is from RNAcentral.
AGAGGGUGCGAGCGUUGUUCGGAAUUACUGGGCGUAAAGCGCGCGCAGGCGGCCCUUUAAGUCUGCCGGUCAAACGCCGGGGCUCAACCCCGUGCUCGCCGGAGAUACUGGGGGGCUGGAGACAGGUAGAGGCGAGUGGAAUUCCGGGUGUAGCGGUGGAAUGCGUAGAGAUCCGGAAGAACACCGGAGGCGAAGGCGGCUCGCUGGGCCUGGUCUGACGCUGAGGCGCGAAAGCGUGGGGAGCGAACAGGAUUAGAUACCCUGGUAGUCCACGCCGUAAACGAUGGGCACUGGGCGCGGGGGGGAUCGACCCCUUCCGUGCCGUAGCCAACGCGAUAAGUGCCCCGCCUGGGGAGUACGGCCGCAAGGCUG